Molecule: long non-coding RNA, 5583 nt
Filed under: Ananas comosus (pineapple)
Lineage: Eukaryota; Viridiplantae; Streptophyta; Magnoliopsida; Poales; Bromeliaceae
Description: long non-coding RNA (ACOM_LNC043780)
Source: RNAcentral
AGAAUUGUGGAAAGUCAGGGUACGUGAAGAAAGAUUGCUAGGUUAAAGGAGUUGAUGGUAAAUCUGAUUCAAGCAACUUCUAGGGUAGUGUAGCUAAAGCAGAUGCUAAGUCGGCUACUUCGGAGGAUGGAGAUGCAUUAAUUACAUUGGAUAGAUUUGAAUUUAUUUAUCAUUAGAUCUUGGAUUUUGGGUUAUUAGAUCUUAGAUUUUGGGGCGUUGUUCCACAUGACUCCCUAUGGGGAGUUGUUUCAUACUUACAAGUCAUGGGAUGAUCAAGUUAUCUAUUUGGAUGAAAACAUGAUAUAUCCGAUGGUUGGAAUGGGAGACGUUCAAAUCAAGAUGUUCGAUGGUGUUAUUCGGACGAUUUCUAAUGUUUGAUGGUGUAAGCAAGAGGCUAAGUUCAUCGGUGAGAAGGAUCACUUGAAGGUAUGUCAAGGAUGUUUGGUGUUGAUGAAGGGAGAGCAAGUAAGUGGCCCUUAUAGAUUGGUAAAUGAGACUCAAGUGAGAGAAGCGGUUGUCACAACUGCAAAGGUAGAGUCUCUGAUGGUUUGGCAUCGCGGUCUGGGACACAUGAGUGAGCACGGAUUGCAUGUAUUAUCUAACUAUGAACUUCUUCUAGAUUACAAGUCUAUGCAAUUGGAUUUCUAUUUAAGAUUGCAUCUACGGGAAGCAACAGAGGUUGCUGUUCUCUUUAUCACAUCAAAGAACUAAGAAGAAUCUCGAGUUCAUUCGGAUAUUUGGGAGUCGCCUAAUACUUGCUGGGUGGAUGUUCUUAAUUUGUCCUCUAUUGAUGAUUACUCUCGGAAAGGCUUGGGUACAUAUCCUAAAGCGUUUAAGAAGUUCAAAACUCUUGUGGAUAAUGAAAAGAGUUUAAAAGAACAAGUGUCUAUGUUCUGAUAAUGAAAUGGAAUACUGUUCAAGAAAAUUUGACGAGUUUUGUAAUGAGUACGGAAUUAAGCGGCACCUCACGGUACCCGGUAUACCGUAAUAAAACGGUAUAGCAGAGAGGAUAAAUAGAAAACUCAUGGAGAGAAUUUGGAGCAUGUUGUGUACCUCAAAACUAGAUAAGAGAUUUUGAGUGGAAGCCGUGAGCAUGUCUUGUUAUUUAAUCAAGCAAGCGCCGACAAAUUCGCUUGGUUUGGAAAUUUGUGAAGAAGUUUAGAGUGGCAAGUGACUACUUCUAUUUUCGUGUCUUUGGAUGUGACACUUAUGCAUGGAUACCAAAGGAGAAGAGGUUAAAAUUUGAUAAGAACUAUUAGAGGUGCAUAUUUCUCGGCUAUGCAAAAGGAGUUAAGGGGUAUCAAUUAUGAGGCUACAGUACCCACAAGAUUGUCAUAAGCUAUGAUAUUGUCUUGAAUGAAGGGUCCUUUCAAGGUAUAAAGGAAAAGCAAGAUGAUAAUCCUAUGGUUCCAAUUGAGCUCUUUGAAGCACGCGAUAAGGUGUAAGUUGAGCAAGUGCAGCAAGAUGAUGAGAUUGUUGAUGAUGAAUCACACUUGGAGUCUUUGCAAUUAUCCGAAGAUAUAAAUUCACCGAUGGAGCCACCAGCAAAUUCCAGUCAUCUUAGGAAGGUCACUAGACCUCGUGUGAGUUAUAAUGACUAUAGCACUUCAUUUAUUCCUUCUGCUAACUAUGUUAGUACAUAUGUUGCCUUGGUAGAGGAAGAUAAGCCGGCUUCAUAUAAGGAGGCUUGGGAGUUGAUCAUUGUUGGGAAGUGGCAAUGUGUGAUGGAGGAGAAGAUAGAGUCACUUCGGAAGAACAGAACUUGAGAGCUUGUUGAUUUGAAGAGAAGGAACAUGAUUGGAUACCGAUGGAUGUUUAAGGCGAAGAAGGAUGUGGAUGGGAAUAUGGAGAGGUUUAAGGGAGGUUAGUGAUGAAGAGACAUGUUCAGAAGUCGAGAAUUGACUUCGAUGAGAUAUUCUCAUUGGUGGUUUAUCUUACCACUAUGGGUUGUCCUGGCAAUCACAAUAGUCUUGGAUUUAGAGCUCAAUUAGAUGGUUGUAUAGGUGACCUCUUGCACGGUGACCUAGAGAAAGAGAUAUGUAUGUAGGAAUCGAAAGGCUUUGUCGAAAAAAGCAAGAAGCAUUUGAUUUGUUGGUUGAACAAAUUAUUAUACGGCUUGAAACAGACACCAAGGUGCCAGUAGAAAUGAUUUGAUUCUUUUAUGGGCAAACUUCAAAUACCACCUCUAUGGUUUCGUACUUUUUCACUUUAGUACCCUACGAUUUAAAAUGUAUCAAUUUAGUACCCUGUGUUUUCAGUUUUCUCUUUUCAUUUGCUCAUCUGUUAACAUUUCGUUAAAUUAUAUACAAAAAACUUUAGAUACCCCAUCUAAGUUUAUCGAAUAUUCACUUUAAUACUGUUUAGUUUUAACUUUGUCACUGAUUUAAUGAAAAAAUCUGACGAAAAGAGAAAAAUGAAACCACAGGGUACUAAAUUGAUACACUUUAAACUACAGGGUAUUAAAUUGAGAAAGUGCGAAACCACAGGGGUGGUAUUUGAAGUUUGCCCUUCUUUUAUUGUGAGUUUGGAUUUUGAUAGGCAUGAGGCGGAUCAUUGUGCAUAUUUUUCUUGUUAUGAUGACAGGAGCUUCAAUAUUUUUCCAUUGUAUGUCGACGUAUAGUGGUCAAGGGAAUAGCAAGAGCUGGGUAUCUACCCUCAAGACUUAGUUGGCCGAGAAGCUCGAUAUGAAGAACUUAGGAGUCGUGAACCAAAUAUUCGGAAUGAAGGUACUAUAGGAGCGAAAGCAUAGAAAGGUUUGGCUUUCACAAAAGAGUUAUGUGGAGAAGGUUCUAUGACACUUUAAUAUGCAGAACACAAAGUCAGUUUCUACCCUAUUUUCUAUUCAUUUAAAAUUGUCGGCAGAGCAAUCACCCAAUACGAAAGCAGAAAAGGCCGACAUGGCUCGGGUACCAUAUUCAUUGGCAGUGGGGAGCCUUAUGUUUGCCAUGGUGUGCACUAGACCCUACAUUGCUCAAGCAGUGGGAGUAGUGAGUCGGUAUAUAACAAAAUCGAAUUGUGAAUAUUGGAAUGUAGUGAAGUGGAUCCUCAACUAUUUGAGGGACACUACUGAUUUCUUACUCUAUUAUGGUUCUGAGGAUUUGGAGUGUGUCGAAUAUGUAGUGUUCCUGAGGUUUGGAUAGGAUUGGCUACAGUAUUAGUGGCUGGUCGACAUCACAGGAGAGUGUCGGACUGAGUCGGAGUCGUUUCUGUACGAAUUGGAUGCAGAAAUGGACUCGGUGCACUCAAUUAAGCAAAACUGGAGUUUUGCCAGAUUUGGGCGCCGAGAACACGGUUUAGGUCGCCCAGAACUGAGUGCUGAAUUUAACUGAAACUGGAAGCCAAUUCAGAUCUUAUGUUCCGGGCGCCCAGAAGUGGGUCCGGAAAUUUUACAUCGUGAAUAUCGUUUGUGUUGACACGUGGCUGGUGGUAGGUGAGGUCCACUGGAGCCGUUUACGGGCAUAGUGCACCGCGGGUGGAGAAUCCGAAGUAGAACAAUUGUGUAGCUUGGAGGAUUCGGGCGCCCAUAAUGUGGGUCCGGGCGCCCGGAAGUGCCCGUUUCCGCAGGGACAUCAGAUUGCAGCAGUUGUUCUCGGGGCUUAUCCUACCCUUCCUGCACCCUAUAAAUAGUUGAGAGGGACCUUGGUGAGCUCUUUUCUCAAUUUCUUCACAGUGAACUCAGAAUUCCUCUCUCAAUCCUUCAAAUCUUCGCAAAUUGCUUCAUAAUCCACAACUCCAAGCUUGCUAGGUGCUGAUUCUGCAGUUCUUCAGCAAUGACCUCCAGUGUUUUGGCUCGUGUGCGGCGUAGGAAGGUCGGAUCGCGGUGAAACUUGGUUUGUUAGAUUCUAGACUUCCAGAGGAAUCCACGAAGCCCUGGAUUGCAGAUUUUGGUUGAGGUUAGCUUAGUCGAUUCCAUGCUUUUCUAGACUGCUGUUACUUUGAAGCUGAAUUUGAGUUUUAGUGGUUUUUUCAAUGCAAUUCUUGGAUGGAACAGGAUUUUUGGACCUGAGAUUUGUGCUCCAUCCUUAUUCACUGGAUUUGGAAUUUGUCUCACCCGAAAUUAGAGAUUAUUAUGUGAGUUUUGUCAUUGGAGUUGAGAUAAUUAAGCUUAAGUGCUAAAAUUUUGGUGAAUUGAUGGAUUUUGGUCUUUUUUGGUACUUGAACCUUGAUGUAGCUUUGUUGCUGGACUUGAGAGUGUUUCGGUUGAGCCAGCAGGUUUUCCGCAGCUAAGAGAGUUCUUUGCUGCCAGGGAUUAGCUCUUGAAGUGUGUUUUCAUCGGUGUUACUCCUAAGCCGUAUUACUCGACAUGUGUGAUUUCAGCUUUUGGUAGAUCAUGUGUUAGCUCAAUUUCUUGAUUAAAUCAUGUAUAAAAUGAGAAUUGAGAGCAUGAUUAAUAAUUCGUUAAAUAUGCAUGUUGGACUUGGAACUUGACUUAGGAGAAAACCAGCGUUUUGACCCGUCAUAUGAUUCUACUACCUGAUUUAGCUCUAGGAGCCGUGGUUUGAUUGUAUCACCGCUGUUUCAGCGCAGUGGAUAUCCGGGGUAGUUUAGAAUGCAUUUACGCUCGUGCUGGGAUGCCGAGCUUAUUUUUACAGCAGAGUUUAGGCUGUUUCGGGUUGUCGGGUGCCGUCAGGGUGGACGGUGGAUCCAGAUUCUUAUUUUUGGUAUCAGAUUGUGCCGAGGGCACGUGGGUUCGGUUUCUAGACCGGUUUUGACCCUAACUACUUAUCUUUAGCUGAUUAGAGCCUGAUUGAGCUCGACAGAGAUACACUUGCAUACUCGAUUGGGUAGCGCCCACGAGUGCCACUCCGGAGUCGAGCUUAGUGCAUUUGCGUUUGUGUCGUUCGUGCAGGUUGGACUUGCUCUCCACGGACUUGUUAGUAUGGAGGUAGCUGAUUAGUUGUAACCUGGCGGGAUGGGUGUGUUCACAGUCCCAGGGAUGGGUAUGAUUACAGUCCCUAUUCAAGAUUGGGUCUGUGUUGACACUGUUCUACAGUUGGUUAGAUUAGAGCAUGAUAGUAUAGAGGCAGAUAGUUGUAGAUAUGUUCCAGCUUUCUUUAUUAUUUCUUGCUUACCCCUGUAGAUUUAGUGGGUGGACCGAUGAGUUUGAGGGCAGUACCCACUGAGGACUACUUGUUUUUACAGUAGUUCUCACGCCCAGUUUGUUUCCACUAUUUUGUAGAGUCAUCGUCUUCGGCUGCUGCUGUCGCUAAUUUUGAUCAUGGCAAGGGCGUCGCGAGUUAUAGCCCUUCCAGUCGAGUUGCUGAGCUAGUGGAGGACCGCUGCAGGUAGUGUAGUUUUGGUUUAUACAUACAGAUGUUGUACUCUCGCCAGUGCGAGUGCUUUUGUAUCUUGGAUCUUAUGUAUGUAUAGAACCACAGUUUAUAUAUUUAUGGUUUAUUUUCUCCUAGCUGCUCUAUACUACUGUCUGUAGUAUUGUAUGAUUACAUGUACUUUUACUUUUCGCUUCGUAUACAGAGAAAAUAGCUAUAUAUACUGCGGGUCUGUUAGCGAACCCGGGAAAACGAGUAAUCCGGGGCGUGACAGAUUAAAUUGGUAUCAGAGUUUAGCUGUAGGUCGUUGGGA